GACGAACGCUGGCGGCGUGCUUAACACAUGCAAGUCGAACGGAAAGGCCCCUUUGGGGGUACUCGAGUGGCGAACGGGUGAGUAACACGUGAGUAACCUGCCCUUGACUUCGGGAUAACUUCAGGAAACUGGGGCUAAUACCGGAUAGGAAUCCUUGCUGCAUGGUGGGGGUUGGAAAGCUUCGGCGGUUUUGGAUGGACUCGCGGCUUAUCAGCUUGUUGGUGGGGUAGUGGCUUACCAAGGCUUUGACGGGUAGCCGGCCUGAGAGGGCGACCGGCCACAUUGGGACUGGGAUACGGCCCAGACUCCUACGGGAGGCAGCGGUGGGGAAUAUUGCACAAUGGGCGGAAGCCUGAUGCAGCAACGCCGCGGGCGGGAUGACGGCCUUCGGGUUGGAAACCGCUUUCAGCAGGGGCGAAGCUUGUGGUGACGGUACCUGCAGAAGAAGCACCGGCUAACUACGUG
Molecule: ribosomal RNA, 465 nt
Filed under: uncultured bacterium
Lineage: Bacteria
Description: partial 16S ribosomal RNA
Rfam family: Bacterial small subunit ribosomal RNA
Source: RNAcentral